GGCUAUUCAUCCCGUAAUCAGUCAAUGUUUCCAGAAGCCUUUGCUUGCGCUUCCGUGCACUGCACAGCACCAGCGGCGUUUAGCCUGCUCAAACGUGCUCCCUACCACAAACACACGGACAUGUGGGCCUCACCAACUCCGGGCCCUACAUGUCAGUGAGCGUAAACCCCUCUGUCCGCGAAAUGAUUCACGCGACGCGAGCCACCUACCGCCGCCGCCUCCGCCGCCUCCGCGCAUCUCCCCGGUUCGCGCCGUCACGCGCGCUCACAGCUCACAGCUCACGGGCCAGCUCGGAAAGCACCACGCCGACGCCUCGCGGCGAGCUCGGAUCUCCUGUCCUGGGACUCUAGCGGCGGCUGGUCUCGGUUACUCGGGGGGAGGCGGCAUACUACCGAUUUGGUGGGCGGGGAGUCCGGGAAUGGGAGAUCUGGCGGCGGCGGUAGCGAGAUGGUGAGCGCAGGCUCUAGCAGGAGUUGCCCGGCGCGCGUCACGCCGAGGGGCAGUGCGGGGCCCGGGAGCCCGCGCGUCUCUGCUGCCGCGGUUGCUUUGGCGGCGCUGCAGCGCAGGUGGCGGUGGGCGCCGUCGGGCGCGUCGCUGGAGCGCGCGGCCCACGCGUUCCUGCUGGCCUCCGCGGCGCUGGUCCUCAGCGGCGCGCUGUACCUCUACGUGUUCCGGUACGUCGGCCGGGGCCGCGCGGUGGCCGGCUUCGUCGGGGACGGUGGGCUCGGCGUCGAGCCGUGCGACGUGUUCGACGGCGCCUGGGUGCCCGACGCGAGCCACCCGCUCUACAACAGCUCCGAGUGCCCGUUCGCGGAGCGGGGGUUCGACUGCCUGGCCAACGGGCGGCAGGACACGGGGUACCUCAAGUGGCGGUGGAAGCCGCGGCGGUGCGACGUGCCGCGGUUCACCGCCCGCGCCGCGCUGGAGCGGCUGCGGGGGAAGCGGGUCGUCUUCGUGGGGGACUCCAUGAGCCGCACGCAAUGGGAGUCCUUCAUCUGCAUGCUCAUGGCCGGGGUGGACGAUCCCAAGACCGUCUACGAGGUGAACGGGAACGAGAUCACCAAGAUCAUACGGCACCUGGCGGUCAGGUUCGCGUCGCACAGCAUCACUGUGGAGUUCUUCCGGUCGGUGUUCCUUGUGCAGCAGCGCCCUGCGCCACAGCACGCCCCGAAGAGGGUCAAGUCGACCUUGAGGCUUGACAAAAUGGAUGAUUUCAGUCGGAAAUGGGCGAAAUCCGAUGUGCUAAUUUUCAACACCGGGCAUUGGUGGACUCCGACAAAACUGUUUGAUACGGGUUGCUAUUUUCAGGCCGGACGCGCUCUUAAACUUGGUACAUCAAUUGAAGCUGCUUUCAGGAUGGCAUUGGAGACCUGGGCUUCAUGGGUGGAGAAAAGACUUGAUUUAAACCGAACACAUGUCUUCUUCCGUACAUAUGAGCCAUCCCACUGGAGUGACCCAAGCCAAAGGACCUGUGAAGUAACAGAACAGCCUUCGUCUGAGGUCAAAGGAAACGAUAAGAGUGAAUUUGGGGCUAUACUUGCUGAUGUUGUGGUGAAAAUGAGCACUCCUGUUACUUUACUAAAUGCAACUUUAAUGGGAGCGUUCAGAAGUGAUGCUCAUGUCGGCAAUUGGAGUUAUCCUCCCACCAUACUUGAUUGCAGCCACUGGUGUCUCCCUGGAGUCCCCGAUGCUUGGAAUGAACUAGUCUUUUCGUACCUUUUGACAAAUGGAAAAUUUGAGGAUGCACCAAGAGAGAUGGUUUAGGCUAUGAUGUUGACCUUUGACAAUCUACAUUCAAGGAAGUCAACUGGAAUGAUCAAGUAGCACUUAUUGAUGCUACCUUGAGAUGCCUCAAGUUAUGAUCUUCAACGAAGUGCUACUCCAGUUAUAUAUAACUUUAUCAACAAUUCUUGAGAUGCGACUGAACAAGUGUAGCUUUUUACUACUGUGCUGGCGAAACAUGGCAGGGUGAAUGUCCCACGGCAGGGUGAAUGUCCCACAGCAUACUCAAUUUUCCCCCAAUUGUGUAUUGUGAUUUUAUCAGCUAUAGCGGAUUAACAUGUCCUGGAAGCAGCUAUAUCUGCUAUGUGGUUCACUGGACUUCCACAUUCUUUCUUUCUUUGACUUAUACAAGGUGAAACAUGCAUCCUGAUGUGUAGAUUUUGUAUCAUUUCUUUUGGUUGCUGAGGAUUAGAAAGCAUCAACAUUCUGUCAACCUGUAUGUAUGCACUAACAGUUCAUUUUAUAUGUUGUCAAAAAACAAAUUUGUGUUUGAACCGGUAUGUAUAAACAUUCACUUGAUACGGUGUCAAAAAGUGCCCCCUUUCAAUAUAAGUGUCAAAUUUUGCAUGUC
Phragmites australis (common reed) is the source of this 2353-nucleotide RNA transcript. It is a transcript of the gene named protein trichome berefringence-like 7, with no coding region annotated. NCBI's taxonomy places the organism in Eukaryota, Viridiplantae, Streptophyta, Magnoliopsida, Poales, Poaceae. The transcript is spliced from 5 exons. The record is from RefSeq and is a predicted model, not a curated record.